UGGCGGCAGGCCUAACACAUGCAAGUUCGAGCGGCAGCGACAUAAACAAUCCUUCGGGUGCGUUUAUGGGCGGCGAGCGGCGGACGGGUGAGUAAUGCCUGGGAAUAUGCCCUGAUGUGGGGGAUAACCAUUGGAAACGAUGGCUAAUACCGCAUAAUCUCUUCGGAGCAAAGAGGGGGACCUUCGGGCCUCUCGCGUCAGGAUUAGCCCAGGUGAGAUUAGCUAGUUGGUGAGGUAAGAGCUCACCAAGGCGACGAUCUCUAGCUGGUCUGAGAGGAUGAUCAGCCACACUGGAACUGAGACACGGUCCAGACUCCUACGGGAGGCAGCAGUGGGGAAUAUUGCACAAUGGGGGAAACCCUGAUGCAGCCAUGCCGCGUGUGUGAAGAAGGCCUUCGGGUUGUAAAGCACUUUCAGUUGUGAGGAAGGCAUUAUCGUUAAUAGCGGUAGUGUUUGACGUUAGCAACAGAAGAAGCACCGGCUAACUCCGUGCCAGCAGCCGCGGUAAUACGGAGGGUGCGAGCGUUAAUCGGAAUUACUGGGCGUAAAGCGCAUGCAGGCGGCUUGUUAAGCCAGAUGUGAAAGCCCGGGGCUCAACCUCGGAAUAGCAUUUGGAACUGGCAGGCUAGAGUCUUGUAGAGGGGGGUAGAAUUUCAGGUGUAGCGGUGAAAUGCGUAGAGAUCUGAAGGAAUACCGGUGGCGAAGGCGGCCCCCUGGACAAAGACUGACGCUCAGAUGC
Molecule: ribosomal RNA, 739 nt
Filed under: bacterium T299
Lineage: Bacteria
Description: bacterial SSU rRNA
Rfam family: Bacterial small subunit ribosomal RNA
Source: RNAcentral